AGAGUUUGAUCCUGGCUCAGGAUGACCUCUGGCGGCGUGCCUAAUACAUGCAAGUCGAACGCGGGCACUUGUGCCCGAGUGGCGAACGGGUGAGUAAUACAUAAGUAACCUGGCCUUUACAGGGGGAUAACUGCUGGAAACGGCAGCUAAGACCGCAUAGGUAGGGACACUGCAUGGUGACCGUAUUAAAAGUGCUGCAAGGCACUGGUAGAGGAUGGACUUAUGGCGCAUUAGCUGGUUGGUGAGGCAACGGCUCACCAAGGCGACGAUGCGUAGCCGACCUGAGAGGGUGACCGGCCACACUGGGACUGAGACACGGCCCAGACUCCUACGGGAGGCAGCAGUAGGGAAUUUUCGGCAAUGGGGGGAACCCUGACCGAGCAACGCCGCGUGAAGGAAGAAGGAAUUCGUUCUGUAAACUUCUGUUAUAAAGGAAGAAAGACGGAUGGAGGAAAUGACAUCCGAGUGACGGUACUUUAUGAGAAAGCCACGGCUAACUACGUGCCAGCAGCCGCGGUAAUACGUAGGUGGCAAGCGUUAUCCGGAAUUAUUGGGCGUAAAGAGGGAGCAGGCGGCAGCAAAGGUCUGUGGUGAAAGACUGAAGCUUAACUUCAGUAAGCCAUAGAAACCGGGCAGCUAGAGUGCAGGAGAGGAUCGUGGAAUUCCAUGUGUAGCGGUGAAAUGCGUAGAUAUAUGGAGGAACACCAGUGGCGAAGGCGACGAUCUGGCCUGCAACUGACGCUCAGUCCCGAAAGCGUGGGGAGCAAAUAGGAUUAGAUACCCUAGUAGUCCACGCCGUAAACGAUGAGUACUAAGUGUUGGAAGUCAAAUUUCAGUGCUGCAGUUAACGCAGUAAGUACUCCGCCUGAGUAGUACGUUCGCAAGAAUGAAACUCAAAGGAAUUGACGGGGGCCCGCACAAGCGGUGGAGCAUGUGGUUUAAUUCGAAGCAACGCGAAGAACCUUACCAGGUCUUGACAUACUCAUAAAGGAUCCAGAGAUGGAUAGAUAGUUAUAUGAGAUACGGGUGGUGCAUGGUUGUCGUCAGCUCGUGUCGUGAGAUGUUGGGUUAAGUCCCGCAACGAGCGCAACCCUUGUCGUUAGUUACCAUCAUUAAGUUGGGGACUCUAGCGAGACUGCCAGUGACAAGCUGGAGGAAGGCGGGGAUGACGUCAAAUCAUCAUGCCCCUUAUGACCUGGGCUACACACGUGCUACAAUGGAUGGUGCAGAGGGAAGCGAAGCCGCGAGGCGAAGCAAAACCCAUAAAACCAUUCUCAGUUCGGAUUGUAGUCUGCAACUCGACUACAUGAAGUUGGAAUCGCUAGUAAUCGCGAAUCAGCAUGUCGCGGUGAAUACGUUCUCGGGCCUUGUACAAAGCGCCCGUCA
This 1386-nucleotide ribosomal RNA is filed under the name uncultured bacterium. Its description in RNAcentral is "16S ribosomal RNA". It matches the Rfam family "Bacterial small subunit ribosomal RNA". The record is from RNAcentral.